UCUCUCUCUCUCUCUCUCUCUCUCUCUCGCCUGCGCACGAAAGCUUCGUUCUUAGCAUCUACCAAAAAACAAAAAAUGCUUCGUUCUCACUUCUUGCCUAGGGCUGCAGUCGCAUCUCCACUACCAGAUUUUUCGAACCCCGACCUCUUUCUGUUCACCUCUGUUUUCUUUCACCUGUAGGCUGUAGAACAAAACAAUCUAUGCUUCUUGUAGCAAAGAUAGGUUUUAAAUGGGAUGUAUAACAAGUUUGAUCGGAGAUGUAAAAGGUCUCAUUUGUCUGAAUCAUCCCCCAACCCAACCUGGCAGUGUGCACUCACCACUUAAGACAGAGUUGACACACUGAAAGAAUGGAUCAGCAAGUUGGGGAAAAAAGGCUGAUAGUUUCACACAUGGAGUUCGUGGAUGAGAUUCCUUCAGAUGGAAAUAAACCCUCUAAACGUAUUGUGUGGAGGGAUAUCCCUGUUUUUUGCCUUGUUUUUCUUAUUUGUUGGAAUCAUAAUUGGAUAUUGUAUUCCCCACUGAAUCUUCUAUGUAACACUUGACGAUGUAAGUUUAUGAAUUAGUAUCUUAUUUCAAUGAGAUUUACCUUUUUAUUAA
This is a long non-coding RNA of Macadamia integrifolia, 597 nucleotides long. RefSeq lists it as uncharacterized. The record is from RefSeq and is a predicted model, not a curated record. The transcript is spliced from 3 exons. NCBI's taxonomy places the organism in Eukaryota, Viridiplantae, Streptophyta, Magnoliopsida, Proteales, Proteaceae.